RNAcentral lists this ribosomal RNA (450 nucleotides) under uncultured Glomeromycotina. RNAcentral's name for it is "SSU rRNA". It matches the Rfam family "Eukaryotic small subunit ribosomal RNA", at positions 569 to 1025 of the family's 1831-position model. The record is from RNAcentral. Lineage: Eukaryota; Fungi; Glomeromycota.
AGCAGCCGCGGUAAUUCCAGCUCCAAUAGCGUAUAUUAAAGUUGUUGCAGUUAAAAGCUCGUAGUUGAAUUUCGGGGUUAGUAGGUCGGUCGUGCCACAGGUACGUACUGGUCUCACUGAUUCCUCCUUCCUGAUGAACCGUAAUGCCAUUAAUUUGGUGUUGCGGGGAAACUGGACUGUUACUUUGAAAAAUUAGAGUGUUUAAAGCAGGCUAACGCUUGAAUACAUUAGCAUGGAAUAAUGAAAUAGGACGUUCGAUCCUAUUUUGUUGGUUUCUAGGAUUGACGUAGUGAUUAAUAGGGAUAGUUGGGGGCAUUAGUAUUCAAUUGUCAGAGGUGAAAUUCUUGGAUUUAUUGAAGACUAACUACUGCGAAAGCAUUUGCCAAGGAUGUUUUCAUUAAUCAAGAACGAAAGUUAGGGGAUCGAAGACGAUCAGAUACCGUCGUAGUC